AGUGAACGCUGGCGGCAGGCCUAACACAUGCAAGUCGAGCGGCAGCGCGGGGGCAACCCUGGCGGCGAGCGGCGGACGGGUGAGGAAUUCGUCGGAAUCUGCCUUUUUGUGGGGGAUAACGUAGGGAAACUUACGCUAAUACCGCAUACGUCCUACGGGAGAAAGUGGGGGACCGCAAGGCCUCACGCAGAAAGAUGAGCCGACGACCGAUUAGCUAGUUGGUGGGGUAAAGGCCCACCAAGGCGACGAUCGGUAGCUGGUCUGAGAGGAUGAUCAGCCACACUGGGACUGAGACACGGCCCAGACUCCUACGGGAGGCAGCAGUGGGGAAUAUUGGACAAUGGGCGCAAGCCUGAUCCAGCCAUGCCGCGUGUGUGAAGAAGGCCUUCGGGUUGUAAAGCACUUUUGUCCGGAAAGAAAUCCCUGGAGCUAAGACCUUCGGGGGAUGACGGUACCGGAAGAAUAAACACCGGCUAACUUCGU
Molecule: ribosomal RNA, 483 nt
Filed under: uncultured bacterium
Lineage: Bacteria
Description: partial 16S ribosomal RNA
Rfam family: Bacterial small subunit ribosomal RNA
Source: RNAcentral